ACGGGUGAGUAACGCGUGGGAACGUACCUUUUGCUACGGAAUAACUCAGGGAAACUUGUGCUAAUACCGUAUGUGCCCUUCGGGGGAAAGAUUUAUCGGCAAAGGAUCGGCCCGCGUUGGAUUAGCUAGUUGGUGAGGUAAAGGCUCACCAAGGCGACGAUCCAUAGCUGGUCUGAGAGGAUGAUCAGCCACACUGGGACUGAGACACGGCCCAGACUCCUACGGGAGGCAGCAGUGGGGAAUAUUGGACAAUGGGCGCAAGCCUGAUCCAGCCAUGCCGCGUGAGUGAUGAAGGCCCUAGGGUUGUAAAGCUCUUUCACCGGUGAAGAUAAUGACGGUAACCGGAGAAGAAGCCCCGGCUAACUUCGUGCCAGCAGCCGCGGUAAUACGAAGGGGGCUAGCGUUGUUCGGAUUUACUGGGCGUAAAGCGCACGUAGGCGGACUUUUAAGUCAGGGGUGAAAUCCCGGGGCUCAACCCCGGAACUGCCUUUGAUACUGGAAGUCUUGAGUAUGGUAGAGGUGAGUGGAAUUCCGAGUGUAGAGGUGAAAUUCGUAGAUAUUCGGAGGAACACCAGUGGCGAAGGCGGCUCACUGGACCAUUACUGACGCUGAGG
RNAcentral lists this ribosomal RNA (614 nucleotides) under Brucella tritici. Its description in RNAcentral is "bacterial SSU rRNA". It matches the Rfam family "Bacterial small subunit ribosomal RNA", at positions 102 to 751 of the family's 1533-position model. Lineage: Bacteria; Pseudomonadati; Pseudomonadota; Alphaproteobacteria; Hyphomicrobiales; Brucellaceae. The record is from RNAcentral.